GGAGCUGGGGACUCACAACCACGAGGGAUUUCAGUUGUCAUUUUGGACAGACCUCUCUCCGUCUCUUGUCUUUCCAUUCCUUGCUGCCAAUUCCCCCUUUUUUUUUUUUUCCUUCCCCCAACCAUUUUACAGCCCCAAACCCUGUCCUUGAGCCCAGCUCUUCUCUUCCUUGUGUCCUAGUCCUUGCCUUUUCUGUAAGCAAGGAAUUAAACAAGCCUUUGUGAAGACAAAUCCAUGUAGUAGUUUCUCUCUUUACUCCCUGGCUAGGAUAUCAGUACAAUUAAAGAAGAAGCAGUGACCAAGGAAGUUGCAUUUAUUUUAAUAUCAGCUCUACUGAGUCAAGGCUUUGAGAGCAUCCUCCGAGCUGUGUGCAUGCUUGCAACAUGAGAGCUUGCUGUCAAGUCCCAAAUCCUCUAGGUACACAGGUCCCUGCCACUUCUGGUGGCAAUAAGCCCCCUCCAGACAUGUAGGGAUAGGGAAAGUGGAAUCUCACCGGCACCAAGGCUUCCCCCUCCCUCAAACAAGGCCCACCUAGAAACUCAGUAAUAAAGAGGGAAAUUGGCAACCAGCCUAAGGUCAUUUGCAAUUUGUGAGUAAUGAAGGAACCUGGAGGUAGUAGAAGCAGAUAAGAAUGAAGAAGGAGGGAGGGGAAGGGUUUAUUUGCUCUCCAGGGCUUCCUAGGCUGGGGCUCUUCCUUAGCACUGCUGUCUGGUCUCUGUGUGUUUCUAUCAGAUGUGAUGCUGUGGCAUUGCUUCCCCUGCAAGCACCAAAAGGAGAGGCCACGAGACACCUUCCUUUGGGUCUCAGUUCCAGGUAUGCUCCAGAGUCUACUGACUUAUUUAUUUUUAUUACUGCUCCCUUUCUGCCCUCGUUUUGUAAAAGCAGCUAACUCCCCUGUUGUGUUUUAUGUGAUGUUCCUACUUGAGAGCUGACUUAAUCUUUGCAUUUUGCUCUCCCUGUUAAUCUCAGGAUUAAGAAACUGCCGUGCAAGUGUGACUGGAGCUUUUAGAAGUGAUUUCUACUUUUUUAAAGGAAUAAAAAAUCUGCAAUGAGCA
RNAcentral lists this long non-coding RNA (1055 nucleotides) under Anser brachyrhynchus (Pink-footed goose). RNAcentral describes it as "lncRNA (ENSABRG00000016623.1)". The record is from RNAcentral. Lineage: Eukaryota; Metazoa; Chordata; Aves; Anseriformes; Anatidae.